This 2438-nucleotide ribosomal RNA is filed under the name Salmonella enterica subsp. enterica serovar Enteritidis. RNAcentral describes it as "bacterial LSU rRNA". It matches the Rfam family "Bacterial large subunit ribosomal RNA", at positions 510 to 2925 of the family's 2925-position model. Lineage: Bacteria; Pseudomonadati; Pseudomonadota; Gammaproteobacteria; Enterobacterales; Enterobacteriaceae. The record is from RNAcentral.
AAAGGCGAAAAGAACCCCGGCGAGGGGAGUGAAAAAGAACCUGAAACCGUGUACGUACAAGCAGUGGGAGCACAGGUUUACCUGUGUGACUGCGUACCUUUUGUAUAAUGGGUCAGCGACUUAUAUUCUGUAGCAAGGUUAACCGAAUAGGGGAGCCGGAGGGAAACCGAGUCUUAAUUGGGCGUUAAGUUGCAGGGUAUAGACCCGAAACCCGGUGAUCUAGCCAUGGGCAGGUUGAAGGUUGGGUAACACUAACUGGAGGACCGAACCGACUAAUGUUGAAAAAUUAGCGGAUGACCUGUGGCUGGGGGUGAAAGGCCAAUCAAACCGGGAGAUAGCUGGUUCUCCCCGAAAGCUAUUUAGGUAGCGCCUCGUGAAUUCAUCUCCGGGGGUAGAGCACUGUUUCGGCUAGGGGGCCAUCCCGGCUUACCAACCCGAUGCAAACUGCGAAUACCGGAGAAUGUUAUCACGGGAGACACACGGCGGGUGCUAACGUCCGUCGUGAAGAGGGAAACAACCCAGACCGCCAGCUAAGGUCCCAAAGUCAUGGUUAAGUGGGAAACGAUGUGGGAAGGCCCAGACAGCCAGGAUGUUGGCUUAGAAGCAGCCAUCAUUUAAAGAAAGCGUAAUAGCUCACUGGUCGAGUCGGCCUGCGCGGAAGAUGUAACGGGGCUAAACCAUGCACCGAAGCUGCGGCAGCGACACUGUGUGUUGUUGGGUAGGGGAGCGUUCUGUAAGCCUGCGAAGGUGGCCUGUGAGGGUUGCUGGAGGUAUCAGAAGUGCGAAUGCUGACAUAAGUAACGAUAAAGCGGGUGAAAAGCCCGCUCGCCGGAAGACCAAGGGUUCCUGUCCAACGUUAAUCGGGGCAGGGUGAGUCGACCCCUAAGGCGAGGCCGAAAGGCGUAGUCGAUGGGAAACGGGUUAAUAUUCCCGUACUUGGUGUUACUGCGAAGGGGGGACGGAGAAGGCUAUGUUGGCCGGGCGACGGUUGUCCCGGUUUAAGCGUGUAGGUGUGUGUUCCAGGUAAAUCCGGUUCACUUUAACACUGAGGCGUGACGACGAGGCACUACGGUGCUGAAGCAACAAAUGCCCUGCUUCCAGGAAAAGCCUCUAAGCAUCAGGUAACAUCAAAUCGUACCCCAAACCGACACAGGUGGUCAGGUAGAGAAUACCAAGGCGCUUGAGAGAACUCGGGUGAAGGAACUAGGCAAAAUGGUGCCGUAACUUCGGGAGAAGGCACGCUGACACGUAGGUGAAGUGAUUUACUCAUGGAGCUGAAGUCAGUCGAAGAUACCAGCUGGCUGCAACUGUUUAUUAAAAACACAGCACUGUGCAAACACGAAAGUGGACGUAUACGGUGUGACGCCUGCCCGGUGCCGGAAGGUUAAUUGAUGGGGUCAGCGCAAGCGAAGCUCCUGAUCGAAGCCCCGGUAAACGGCGGCCGUAACUAUAACGGUCCUAAGGUAGCGAAAUUCCUUGUCGGGUAAGUUCCGACCUGCACGAAUGGCGUAAUGAUGGCCAGGCUGUCUCCACCCGAGACUCAGUGAAAUUGAACUCGCUGUGAAGAUGCAGUGUACCCGCGGCAAGACGGAAAGACCCCGUGAACCUUUACUAUAGCUUGACACUGAACAUUGAGCCUUGAUGUGUAGGAUAGGUGGGAGGCUUUGAAGUGUGGACGCCAGUCUGCAUGGAGCCGACCUUGAAAUACCACCCUUUAAUGUUUGAUGUUCUAACGUGGACCCGUUACCCGGGUUGCGGACAGUGUCUGGUGGGUAGUUUGACUGGGGCGGUCUCCUCCUAAAGAGUAACGGAGGAGCACGAAGGUUGGCUAAUCCUGGUCGGACAUCAGGAGGUUAGUGCAAUGGCAUAAGCCAGCUUGACUGCGAGCGUGACGGCGCGAGCAGGUGCGAAAGCAGGUCAUAGUGAUCCGGUGGUUCUGAAUGGAAGGGCCAUCGCUCAACGGAUAAAAGGUACUCCGGGGAUAACAGGCUGAUACCGCCCAAGAGUUCAUAUCGACGGCGGUGUUUGGCACCUCGAUGUCGGCUCAUCACAUCCUGGGGCUGAAGUAGGUCCCAAGGGUAUGGCUGUUCGCCAUUUAAAGUGGUACGCGAGCUGGGUUUAGAACGUCGUGAGACAGUUCGGUCCCUAUCUGCCGUGGGCGCUGGAGAACUGAGGGGGGCUGCUCCUAGUACGAGAGGACCGGAGUGGACGCAUCACUGGUGUUCGGGUUGUCAUGCCAAUGGCACUGCCCGGUAGCUAAAUGCGGAAGAGAUAAGUGCUGAAAGCAUCUAAGCACGAAACUUGCCCCGAGAUGAGUUCUCCCUGAGACUUAGAGUCUCCUGAAGGAACGUUGAAGACGACGACGUUGAUAGGCCGGGUGUGUAAGCGCAGCGAUGCGUUGAGCUAACCGGUACUAAUGAACCGUGAGGCUUAACCUU